This 352-nucleotide unclassified non-coding RNA is filed under the name soil metagenome. Its description in RNAcentral is "partial contains 5.8S ribosomal RNA, internal transcribed spacer 2, and large subunit ribosomal RNA". The stretch from base 1 to 120 matches the Rfam family "5.8S ribosomal RNA", at positions 35 to 154 of the family's 154-position model. The record is from RNAcentral.
GAUGAAGAACGCAGCGAAAUGCGAUAAGUAAUGUGAAUUGCAGAAUUCAGUGAAUCAUCGAAUCUUUGAACGCACAUUGCGCCCGCCAGUAUUCUGGCGGGCAUGCCUGUUCGAGCGUCAUUACAACCCUCAGGCCCCUGGGCCUGGCGUUGGGGAUCGGCAGAAGCCCCCUGUGGGCACACGCCGUCCCUCAAAUACAGUGGCGGUCCCGCCGCAGCUUCCAUUGCGUAGUAGCUAACACCUCGCAACUGGAGAGCGGCGCGGCCAUGCCGUAAAACACCCAACUUCUGAAUGUUGACCUCGAAUCAGGUAGGAAUACCCGCUGAACUUAAGCAUAUCAAUAAGCGGAGGA